This 460-nucleotide ribosomal RNA is filed under the name uncultured bacterium. Its description in RNAcentral is "partial 16S ribosomal RNA". It matches the Rfam family "Bacterial small subunit ribosomal RNA", at positions 338 to 795 of the family's 1533-position model. The record is from RNAcentral.
CCUACGGGUGGCAGCAGUGAGGAAUAUUGGUCAAUGGACGGAAGUCUGAACCAGCCAUGCCGCGUGCAGGAAGACGGCUCUAUGAGUUGUAAACUGCUUUUGUACAAGGGUAAACCUGAAUACGUGUAUUCAGCUGAAAGUACUGUACGAAUAAGGAUCGGCUAAAUCCGGGCCAGCCGCCGCGGUAAUACGGAGGAUCCAAGCGUUAUCCGGAUUUAUUGGGUUUAAAGGGUGCGUAGGCGGAUUGAUAAGUUAGAGGUGAAAUGUCCGAGCUUAACUCGGGAACUGCCUCUAAUACUGUUGAUCUAGAGAGUAGAUGCGGUAGGCGGAAUGUAUGGUGUAGCGGUGAAAGGCUUAGAGAUCAUACAGAACACCGAUUGCGAAGGCAGCUUUCCAAUCUAUAUCUGACGUUGAGGCACGAAAGCGUGGGGAGCAAACAGGAUUAGAUACCCGAGUAGUC